RNAcentral lists this long non-coding RNA (266 nucleotides) under Carica papaya (papaya). RNAcentral's name for it is "long non-coding RNA (CPAP_LNC013364)". Lineage: Eukaryota; Viridiplantae; Streptophyta; Magnoliopsida; Brassicales; Caricaceae. The record is from RNAcentral.
AGGGCCCUCGGGGGGCCAAAAAAUUACGAAAAAUCGAAGCUUACCGGCGGCGGUGCUCUCGGGUGCGGCGGCUCUCCGGCGAGGUUCGUGUUUUGGUGAUUCGGCUCCGAUCAACCUGUAGAGAAAAGAAUGGUGAUCACGGUGAUAUAAAAAUUGCAUCAAACGGAGGCCGGGAAGGGCCUCAUCGGAGGCAAAAACCGAGGAGGGACGCGGCGGCGGCGCUGGGUUUCGGCCGUGUUUUCCGGCCGUUUGGCCGAGAUUUUGGC